RNAcentral lists this transfer RNA (90 nucleotides) under Terriglobia bacterium. RNAcentral's name for it is "tRNA-OTHER". Lineage: Bacteria; Pseudomonadati; Acidobacteriota; Terriglobia. The record is from RNAcentral.
CGGAGGGUGCGUCGCUGGUGCGGCUAGCGAACUUUAAACUCGCGAAACGUCCUGUCAGGGAUUGGGUUCGAUUCCUACACCCUCCGUCCA